Molecule: ribosomal RNA, 404 nt
Filed under: Fusobacteriota bacterium
Lineage: Bacteria; Fusobacteriati; Fusobacteriota
Description: Fusobacteria bacterium partial 16S ribosomal RNA
Rfam family: Bacterial small subunit ribosomal RNA
Source: RNAcentral
UGGGGAAUAUUGCACAAUGGAGGGAACUCUGAUGCAGCGACGCCGCGUGAGUGAUGAAGGAAUUCGUUUCGUAAAACUCUGUUCUAUGGGAAGAAAAGGACUGUACCAUAGGAGAAAGCUCCGGCUAAAUACGUGCCAGCAGCCGCGGUAAUACGUAUGGAGCGAGCGGUGUCCGGAAUUAUUGGGCGUAAAGGGUGCGCAGGCGGCUUUACAAGUUGGAUGUGAAAUAUUGUGGCUCAACCACAAACGUGCAUCCAAAACUGCAAAGCUUGAGUUAAGGAGAGGUAAGUGGAAUUCCUAGUAGAGCGGUGGAAUGCGUAGAUAUCAGGAGGAAUACCGGUGGCGAAGGCGACUUACUGGACUUAAACUGACGCUCAGGCACGAAAGCGUGGGGAGCAAACAGG